This 341-nucleotide ribosomal RNA is filed under the name uncultured Anaerolineaceae bacterium. RNAcentral's name for it is "bacterial SSU rRNA". It matches the Rfam family "Bacterial small subunit ribosomal RNA", at positions 1026 to 1382 of the family's 1533-position model. Lineage: Bacteria; Bacillati; Chloroflexota; Anaerolineae; Anaerolineales; Anaerolineaceae. The record is from RNAcentral.
AGGCUUACACAGGUGCUGCAUGGCUGUCGUCAGCUCGUGUCGUGAGAUGUCGGUUAAGUCCGCUAACGAGCGCAACCCUCACUGUGUGUUACAUGUGUCACACGGGACUGCCGGUUUUAAGCCGGAGGAAGGCGAGGAUGACGUCAAGUCAGCAUGGCCUUUAUAUCUUGGGCUACACACACGCUACAAUGGUCUGUACAAUAGGUUGCCAAGCCGCGAGGCGGAGCCAAUCCUUAAAGCAGGCCUCAGUUCAGAUUGCAGGCUGCAACCCGCCUGCAUGAAGAUGGAGUUGCUAGUAACCGCAGGUCAGCUAUACUGCGGUGAAUACGUUCCCGGGUCUU